UAUAAGCACGGUGUCGGUCGAGUGACGAAAAGUGCUACAAAAGUGCCGGAAUUUUACCCCGCCUUGCCACCCGCAGGCAGCACUGCCCUAAGCUUCUGCUAUAAUCACAAUAAAACUACACGAAUUGAGCGAAUAGCCAUCAAGCAGCAUAUUUUCUCCUCAUUGAACUGUCAAAACACAACACAACAGUUUUAGGAAAGAGGAACGAUUUUUAUUGGCUUGAUCGAACUCCCGAACUGCAGAGUAGACAGAUAGUACAGGAUUAUUUCACAUUGCCUUCCACCGCUCCACCGACAGCAGUAAAUACAGGU
Long non-coding RNA from Toxorhynchites rutilus septentrionalis, 311 nucleotides. RefSeq lists it as uncharacterized. NCBI's taxonomy places the organism in Eukaryota, Metazoa, Arthropoda, Insecta, Diptera, Culicidae. The transcript is spliced from 3 exons. The record is from RefSeq and is a predicted model, not a curated record.